Molecule: long non-coding RNA, 1547 nt
Filed under: Helianthus annuus (common sunflower)
Lineage: Eukaryota; Viridiplantae; Streptophyta; Magnoliopsida; Asterales; Asteraceae
Description: hypothetical non coding rna
Source: RNAcentral
ACAAACCAAAACCUAAUUCUCAUUUCAAAAUUUAAACCCAGCUUUUUCUUGCUAUAAUUUCUGCUCUCUCUCUCUCAAAAUUCUAGAUCUGAUUACUCUCUAGGUUCAAAUCCUCCCUUCUUCUACAGGUUUUUUUUAAUGAUGCUGAGAUUUUAGUAGAGAGAUGGAAAAUCUGGUGGGAUUCAUCUGCCGUCGAUUUGAGCUUUAGCUGAGUACAAGACUAGAUCAUAAAGAGUAUUCAAGAAACCAUCAAUCUCCACUUUGUGAUUUACUUUUGUUUUCUUCAAUCUCACAUCCAUAUUUGUCUCCAUGUAAUAUUCAUUAUAUAGGCUUCAAUCCCACUGUCUUUGACAGUGACGAUACAUCAGGAUUGUUGAAUGGAACCAAGAAUCUGUUGCUGUUUUUAAGUUAGAUGGGGUUUUCAGGGAUGCUGCAUUCAUGGUGUUCGAUAGGAAAAGGCACGGUUAGCGUCGGCACCGCCUUAUCUGUCUCUAGCACCAAAAUCUAAAAACUUGAGUACCACGCCGCGGUUACCGGAUUGAGUUUUGCAUCAGAAUCUUCAACGGAACCGAUAGAACUUUUGAUACGCAAAUAAUGGAGAUUCUUACUGGACGGGUUAUUUUACAAGUCGCCCUGCCCUCAAAGGACAAGUACGAUCAUUGAGCGGAUAUUAUUUGUCUUGGGGAUGCUUUAGGAAUUGCGCAACAUCAUGAUGCUAUUUUCGGUACUGCUAAACAACAUACAACAAAUGACUACCAAAACGCUUAGCAAUUGGAGCUCUCGAGGCUGAGGCUGUUGUCAAUUCAGCUUUAUCAUGCCUAACAAGUUCUACAAGUAACUGCACCAUAUCCACAUCCACAUUUAGCCAGUAAUUUUCUAUGUCAGUGUCCGCUGCUCAAUAUAAGUUUUUGCCCACCGGUGGAAAACAUUCCUUCUGGGAAGAGUUUGGUAAUGCAGCCUCAGUCUAGAUGUGUAGGCUAAAAAGAAGGUUAUCCAUGCUAUUUUCUUAAUGACGGUGUCAACACAUCACAAUCAAGGAUGUUUCUAAGAUAUUAAGGAGAAUACUUUGUGGUGGAUGCUUAAGAGAUCGACGAUCACGAGAGUCUAUAUCACAAACUGGGCGUCGUUCUCUGGUCUAGACUUGUAACUUUGUGUUUUUGUUUUGGUGUGUUAUUAUUGGUUUGUUUCUGUUCUUGGGGGGCGAUAUGAUGCAAGUGUGUGGUGUCUGGUCUCUUCCCAGCUCCUUGCUAGGUGGUGGCCUUAACUGUUUGGUUUGAAAAAAAUCGGGUUUGGUUGUUAAAAAAAAGAAUAGUGCCUAAGUGGUUCACCACCUGUGGGAAUAAGACAAUAUUUGAAGUUUUCAAGUUGUGGUCACAAAAGUAAAGCAAAUCCUCUUAGAUAUAACAUAAACAGAAAAUUUAAUAUGCAUUCUACUACCUUCAUUGGACAUUAUUGACUUUUCAAAGUUGACCAGACUUUUAAAGUCAGCAUGAAUUUACAAAUAAAUAUGAGUUUUUGAUGAGCUAGCCUAAAGUAUACAAUGACGU